AUUUCAUUUCUUGGAGCAGUGCGUCGCCAGAACUUGAAGAGGAGAAGAGCACGUCAGUGAAGACUGCAGUCCAGUGAGAAAGAUCCCAACAAGGGUUGCAACGCCAUUGACUUUGGUUUCAAGUCCUGUUUAUGUUAAUAUUGAUUUGUUGUUGCACUUCUACGUGUUUACCAUAGAAAUACAUGUGUGUAUGACAUAG
Molecule: long non-coding RNA, 199 nt
Organism: Bufo bufo (common toad)
Lineage: Eukaryota; Metazoa; Chordata; Amphibia; Anura; Bufonidae
Exons: 3
Source: RefSeq, a predicted model, not a curated record